UUUUGUUAGCACUAGUUAAAGCAUGAAACCAAUGCAGUUGUUAUCGAAGAAAAGGCAGGAUACACAGUCCUAUCAGCAGUAGCUCAAUUCUUGCUAGCAUUAGUUACAGUUCGAAAGCAGCAAGGUCCGUUUUCAAUAAUGAAUGAAUUGUAAGGAUCCCAUCUAGGUUGGUGCUCUAGCCUCGAGUUCAAUCUAUUGGGCGGUGUUGGGCUCUGUAUUUACUACUCCUUAUUCCCAGUUUAGAGUUAGGGCAUCGCUCGUUAGCAACUCUGGGGCAUAGGAAUACCACUCAGUCAUAUAAGAAUAAGAAGCACCUUCUCUCCAACACAAGAAGAAAAAGAUUUCGUAGAAGAAAAUGUCCCCGCUCGCUGUUCCAUCUACCACAAAGAAGGCGCUUGCUUUGCUUACUUUAGUGAUUUACCCACUGUCCUCCUAACAUGCAACAUUAGACUAAGCUUGUUCCCGCUACUAUGGAAGAGAGGCAACCCUUUCCAAAUACUUAACUUCACUCUCUAGCGCACCUGCUUGUGGAAUUUCACUGAACGACAAUCAAUAUAAAGAAAGUCACAACGCCCUUAAGUCUAUAAUAUAGAAAAGAAAAUAGUCAACAACACUGCUUUCAAACUAAACUAUUCCCUUCUACCUCAAGUCAACAACACUGUUUUCAUACGAGACUAUUCCCUUGAAGUUCCAAUUAUUCCAAGAAGGGCUUCCUUUAAGAACGACAAGAACUGCUUCCUACAAGCUUAGUUAAGCACGUUAUAGAACAUUGCCUCUCGUCUCCUUUCCUCACACCGUCCCGAGUAGAGCUUAAGUCUCCUUUCC
This 825-nucleotide long non-coding RNA is filed under the name Musa acuminata (dwarf banana). RNAcentral describes it as "long non-coding RNA (MACU_LNC008915)". Lineage: Eukaryota; Viridiplantae; Streptophyta; Magnoliopsida; Zingiberales; Musaceae. The record is from RNAcentral.